AGAUGGGCCGUACUCCGCAAGAGGUGGAGAUCCUCACGAACGGCUCCAGAGGCUGGAACAGGAGAUAGCCAGCUUGAAGCAAGGGUCCGUUGUACCUGCUGCUCCAAGCCCUGCCAUCAGCACUCCCAUGCUCCUCGCCACAGGUUCGACAAUAGCGCCGAA
RNAcentral lists this ribosomal RNA (162 nucleotides) under Symbiodinium sp. clade A. RNAcentral's name for it is "partial Archaeal small subunit ribosomal RNA". The record is from RNAcentral. Lineage: Eukaryota; Dinophyceae; Suessiales; Symbiodiniaceae.